RNAcentral lists this ribosomal RNA (576 nucleotides) under uncultured eukaryote. Its description in RNAcentral is "bacterial SSU rRNA". It matches the Rfam family "Eukaryotic small subunit ribosomal RNA", at positions 203 to 783 of the family's 1831-position model. The record is from RNAcentral.
UAUUUAUUAGAUUAAAAACCAAUGCCCUUCGGGGCUCACUGGUGAUUCAUAAUAACUUCUCGAAUCGCAUGGCCUUGCGCCGGCGACGGUUCAUUCAAAUUUCUGCCCUAUCAACUUUCGACGGCUGGGUCUUGGCCAGCCAUGGUGACAACGGGUAACGGAGGGUUAGGGCUCGACCCCGGAGAAGGAGCCUGAGAGACGGCUACUACAUCCAAGGAAGGCAGCAGGCGCGCAAAUUACCCAAUCCCGACACGGGGAGGUAGUGACAAUAAAUACUGAUACAGGGCUCUUUAGGGUCUUGUAAUUGGAAUGAGUACAAUUUAAAUCCCUUAACGAGGAACAAUUGGAGGGCAAGUCUGGUGCCAGCAGCCGCGGUAAUUCCAGCUCCAAUAGCGUAUAUUAAAGUUGUUGCGGUUAAAAAGCUCGUAGUUGGAUUUCUGCUGAGGACGAUCGGUCCGCCCUCUGGGUGAGUAUCUGGCUCGGCCUUGGCAUCUUCUUGGAGAACGUUGCUGCACUUGACUGUGUGGUGCGGUAUCCAGGACUUUUACUUUGAGGAAAUUAGAGUGUUUCAAGCAG